Molecule: long non-coding RNA, 1389 nt
Filed under: Equus asinus (donkey)
Lineage: Eukaryota; Metazoa; Chordata; Mammalia; Perissodactyla; Equidae
Description: lncRNA (ENSEASG00005028394.1)
Source: RNAcentral
GUGAUCUGCUUUGGCCAAUAAGCUGUGGUGGAAGUGAUGGAGUGCCAGUACUGAGUGAGGCCUUCAAGUGGCUUUGCAGGUUUUUCUCUCCCUCUUAGAACUCUGCCCAGCUACCAUGAAAAUAAGCCCAAAGUAACCUGCUGGAGGAUGAGACACCACGUGGAAGACAGACAAGCCAUGCCACUGCCUGUGGAUGCAUAGCAGGCAGUUGGCUGGAGAGAAAAGAGUAAUUCUGUGGGCAGGCUGGCUGAACGCUGCUCAGGCAGACAGCGUCCCCUGGACAAGUUGGCCAUGGAUUGGGGAGGUGGAGAGAGACCAGGAAGGAGCAGCAGCAUCUCCUGUCUUUGCAGCUGUGGCCUCCCGUAGUUCACUGGUUUCACAUCUUGUGGCAAUGUACCAUAGUCAGAUUGGGGUUUACAGGAAGUACAGAGGACAGAGGAACGUGCUAAACAUCACAAUGAAGACGCAACCAGCUAAGACCAGAACAUGGAACUUCUGCAGGCCAAAUACCCUGAUUUCUUCAACACAUGAAUGGCGAUUAAGUAAAAGCUCUGCAGCAGACUUCAUUUCCAUUGGCUCCCACCUGCUUCCAGCAAUUAGAGGAUCAUUUGGAAUAGGAGAUUUGCAUCUGAAGCCUCAUUCACACCUUCCUGCAAAUGCCCGCAAUCCAUCUCCUUACCUUCUAAGAGGAGGACAUCAAAGGGAGCGUGGAGAGAGGGAAGGCUGGACGGAGUAGACUUUCACCAGGAGGACAGUACUGACGGGACAGAAGGGUCAAAGGGAGAAGGAAGGAGGUGUGGAGAGGUCCUUAAGGGAGAUGGGAGAGCAGCAGAGACCAGGGGCCCCCUGUGCUGUUUGGGUGAGGACCAGGGACGCAGCAGAGCCUGCAGACUGCAUAACACAGGAUCAUGGCUAGUGAGCACAGAAAGUGUGGCUGGUAUGACAGGAAAACUCUACUUUUAAUAUUAUUUAAUUUUAAUUCAAGUGACAACUGAAAAUCUGAAGCAAGAUAAAAAUACUUUCCAUUGAACACAACUUUGAUAUUAUUACAUAUUUCGUACUUUUUAAAUUGUUAAAAUUUGUUUCACCUGGUUGUUUUUGUUUGUUUGUUUGUUUUUGAGGAAGAUUAGCCAUGAGCUAACUACUGCCAGUCCUCCUCUUUUUGCUGAGGAAGACCAGCCCUGAGCUAACAUCCAUGUCCAUCUUCCUCUAUUUUAUACAUGGGACGCCUACCACAGCAUGGCUUUUGCCAGGCGGUGCCAUGUCUGCACCCGGGAUCCAAACUGGUGAACCCCGGGCCGCUGAGAAGUGGAAUGUGUGAAUUUAACCACAGCGCCACGGAGCCAGCCCCCUCACCUGGUUGUUUUUAAUGUGGCUACUAGAAAAUUG